Molecule: non-coding RNA, 45 nt
Filed under: Schistosoma mattheei
Lineage: Eukaryota; Metazoa; Platyhelminthes; Trematoda; Strigeidida; Schistosomatidae
Source: RNAcentral
AUCCAGCUGACGAGUCCCAAAUAGGACGAAACACGCGUUCCGGAU